UGGGUCUCAGUGUCUCAAAGGUUUAGAUUUCGAAUAAGCAUUUAUGCCUUAUGGUAUACACAUUCACUUCCAUAGAUUCCAAAAAAGCCAUAGCUUUAGUCUUCUUCUGAAAUAGUUAUCCUGUUUCCUAAUAAUUAUGAAAAAUUUGGAUGCACUAUCGGUUUUCGGUAUUAGAAAAAAAAAAAAAAAAGGGGGGUAGAGAUACAACUGAGACCAAAUUGAAAUAAGUAUUUUUUGAAUUCCAAAGGCAGAUAUAAUUCUUCUCGUAGCUAGCUAAUAUUCUUACAGGUUAUAAGUAGUAGGGGAGGGAGCAUCUUAUGUCUUGUCUUC
RNAcentral lists this long non-coding RNA (330 nucleotides) under Capsella rubella. RNAcentral describes it as "long non-coding RNA (CRUB_LNC004701)". The record is from RNAcentral. Lineage: Eukaryota; Viridiplantae; Streptophyta; Magnoliopsida; Brassicales; Brassicaceae.